ACGAUGAACCGGUUUCGGCCGGGGAUUAGUGGCGAACGGGUGAGUAACACGUGGGCAAUCUGCCCUGCACUCUGGGACAAGCCCUGGAAACGGGGUCUAAUACCGGAUACGACGCGUUCCCGCAUGGGAUACGCGUGGAAAGCUCCGGCGGUGCAGGAUGAGCCCGCGGCCUAUCAGCUUGUUGGUGGGGUGAUGGCCUACCAAGGCGACGACGGGUAGCCGGCCUGAGAGGGCGACCGGCCACACUGGGACUGAGACACGGCCCAGACUCCUACGGGAGGCAGCAGUGGGGAAUAUUGCACAAUGGGCGAAAGCCUGAUGCAGCGACGCCGCGUGAGGGAUGACGGCCUUCGGGUUGUAAACCUCUUUCAGCAGGGAAGAAGCGAAAGUGACGGUACCUGCAGAAGAAGCGCCGGCUAACUACGUGCCAGCAGCCGCGGUAAUACGUAGGGCGCAAGCGUUGUCCGGAAUUAUUGGGCGUAAAGAGCUCGUAGGCGGCUUGUCGCGUCGGAUGUGAAAGCCCGGGGCUUAACUCCGGGUCUGCAUUCGAUACGGGCAGGCUAGAGUUCGGUAGGGGAGAUCGGAAUUCCUGGUGUAGCGGUGAAAUGCGCAGAUAUCAGGAGGAACACCGGUGGCGAAGGCGGAUCUCUGGGCCGAUACUGACGCUGAGGAGCGAAAGCGUGGGGAGCGAACAGGAUUAGAUACCCUGGUAGUCCACGCCGUAAACGUUGGGAACUAGGUGUGGGCGACAUUCCACGUUGUCCGUGCCGCAGCUAACGCAUUAAGUUCCCCGCCUGGGGAGUACGGCCGCAAGGCUAAAACUCAAAGGAAUCGACGGGGGCCCGCACAAGCGGCGGAGCAUGUGGCUUAAUUCGACGCAACGCGAAGAACCUUACCAAGGCUUGACAUACACCGGAAAACCCUGGAGACAGGGUCCCCCUUGUGGUCGGUGUACAGGUGGUGCAUGGCUGUCGUCAGCUCGUGUCGUGAGAUGUUGGGUUAAGUCCCGCAACGAGCGCAACCCUUGUUCUGUGUUGCCAGCAUGCCUUUCGGGGUGAUGGGGACUCACAGGAGACUGCCGGGGUCAACUCGGAGGAAGGUGGGGACGACGUCAAGUCAUCAUGCCCCUUAUGUCUUGGGCUGCACACGUGCUACAAUGGCCGGUACAAUGAGCUGCGAAGCCGUGAGGUG
This 1191-nucleotide ribosomal RNA is filed under the name uncultured actinomycete. RNAcentral describes it as "bacterial SSU rRNA". It matches the Rfam family "Bacterial small subunit ribosomal RNA", at positions 66 to 1264 of the family's 1533-position model. The record is from RNAcentral. Lineage: Bacteria; Bacillati; Actinomycetota; Actinomycetes; Actinomycetales.